Molecule: long non-coding RNA, 845 nt
Filed under: Triticum aestivum (bread wheat)
Lineage: Eukaryota; Viridiplantae; Streptophyta; Magnoliopsida; Poales; Poaceae
Description: long non-coding RNA (TAES_LNC018047)
Source: RNAcentral
UUUUUUGGGACUAACCUAUUAACUUAGUGCCAAGUGCCAGUUGCUAUUUUUUGCCCGUUUUUGGUUUUCUAGGAAAUCAGUACCAAACAAAGUCCAAAUGCCAAGAAACUUUUUGACAAUUUUUUUCUAGACAAAAGAGACACUAGAAGCUUCGGGAGAAGACCAGACGUGCAACGAGAAGGCCACAAGGUACUAGGGCGCGCCCAGGGGUAGGCGCGCCCUAGUACCUUGUGGCCCCCCUGUGGCUCCGUUUGACCUAAUUCCACCUUUGUAAAUUCUCCAAAAUCGGGAAACCAACAUAGAACCACCCAAAAUACUUUUUCCGCCGCCGCAAGUUUUUGUUCUUUGGAGAUCCCAUCUGGAGGCCUUUUCCGAUACUCUACCGGAGGGGGAAUCGACCACGGAGGGGUCUACAUCAACCUUGCCGCCCUUCCGAUGAUGGGUGAGUAGUUUACCACAGACCUACAUGUCCAUAGCUAGUAGCUAGAUGGCUUCUUCUCUCUCUUUGAUCUUCAAUAUAAUGUACUCCUCGAUGUUCUUGGAGAUCUAUUCGAUGUAAUCUUCUUUUGCGGUGUGUUUAUUGGGAUCCGAUGAAUUGUGGGUUUAUGAUCAGAUUGUCUAUGAAUAUUAUUGGAGUCUUCUUUGAACUCUUUUGUGCAUGAUUUUAUAGCUUUGUAUUUCUCUCCGAUCUAUCUAUUUGGUUUGGCCAACUAGAUUGAUUUAUCUUGCAAUGGGAGAGGUGCUGUGUAAUGGGUUCAAUCUUGCAGUGCUCUAUAUCCAGUGACAGAAAGGGACAAGACACGUAUUUUUAUUGUUUCCAUUAAGGGGAAAAUGAUGGAUUUUAU